This 495-nucleotide ribosomal RNA is filed under the name uncultured marine bacterium. Its description in RNAcentral is "bacterial SSU rRNA". It matches the Rfam family "Bacterial small subunit ribosomal RNA", at positions 35 to 526 of the family's 1533-position model. The record is from RNAcentral.
GCUGGCGGCAGGCCUAACACAUGCAAGUCGAGCGCGAACGGUCCUUCGGGACUUAUUNNAGCGGCGGACGGGUGAGUAAUGCAUAGGAAUCUGCCCAGUAGUGGGGGAUAGCCCGGGGAAACCCGGAUUAAUACCGCAUACGUCCUACGGGAGAAAGCAGGGGAUCUUCGGACCUUGCGCUAUUGGAUGAGCCUAUGUCGGAUUAGCUNGUUGGUGGGGUAACGGCCCACCAAGGCGACGAUCCGUAGCUGGCCUGAGAGGAUGAUCAGCCACACUGGAACUGAGACACGGCCCAGACUCCUACGGGAGGCAGCAGUGGGGAAUAUUGCACAAUGGGGGAAACCCUGAUGCAGCCAUGCCGCGUGUGUGAAGAAGGCCUUCGGGUUGUAAAGCACUUUCAGUAGGGAGGAAGGCCCUAAAGUUAAUACCUUUAGGGAUUGACGUUACCUACAGAAGAAGCACCGGCUAACUCCGUGCCAGCAGCCGCGGUAAUAC